Molecule: non-coding RNA, 182 nt
Filed under: Facklamia languida
Lineage: Bacteria; Bacillati; Bacillota; Bacilli; Lactobacillales; Aerococcaceae
Also listed under: 1 other name
Description: 6S RNA
Rfam family: 6S / SsrS RNA
About the family: E. coli 6S RNA was the first non coding RNA to be sequenced, but its function was unknown until recently. It consists of 184 nucleotides that fold into an extended hairpin structure with a large single-stranded internal bulge.
Source: RNAcentral
AUAGAUCUGAUGUGUUCGAGAAAUAUUUACUGUGUUGACCGAACAUUUUAAUGAAGGGAUCCUAUAAUCGAAGGAUAAUGACAAGCCAUCGCACGUGGAAGUCAGAACAUUUCGUGGGGAACCCACCUGAUAGCUAGCGGGUUCAACCUAGCUUUAUUGAUACGGCACAAUUCGGAGAUAUU